This 214-nucleotide unclassified non-coding RNA is filed under the name Glomeraceae sp. RNAcentral's name for it is "partial contains 5.8S ribosomal RNA and internal transcribed spacer 2". The stretch from base 1 to 71 matches the Rfam family "5.8S ribosomal RNA", at positions 84 to 154 of the family's 154-position model. Lineage: Eukaryota; Fungi; Glomeromycota; Glomeromycetes; Glomerales; Glomeraceae. The record is from RNAcentral.
GUGAAUCAUCAAAUUUUUGAACGCAAAUUGCACUUUCUGGUAUUCCGGAGAGUAUGCCUGUUUGAGGGUCAGUUAAUUAACAAUCGGUGUUGUUGCUGCUUUUCGUAGUGACGCGUCGGAAGUGAUUUGUGUUACCUUAGGUUUAGGUACUUAAAAUUUUACAUGAUUGUCGAAGGUAUUUAAAUUUCGUACGUACGUAUGUGAUAUAGACUAC